AACCUUUACAAUGCACGCAAGUGUGAUAGGGGAAUCCUGAGUGCUUAUGCUUAGCAUAGGCUUUUGCCAAGAUUAAAACUCUUGGCGAAUAAGUGGUGGGCAAGACUGGUGCCAGCCGCCGCGGUAACACCAGCGCCACAAGUGGCAAUCGCGAUUAUUGGGCCUAAAGCGUUCGUAGCCGGUUCAGCAAACCUUUUGUGAAAUUGUCAAGCUUAACUUGACGAAUGGCAGAAGAAACUACUGAACUCGGGACCGGGAGGAGUCAGAAGUAUUCUAGGGGGACCGGUAAAAUGGGAUAAUCCCUAGAGGACUACCGAUGGCGAAGGCAUCUGACCAGAACGGAUCCGACGGUGAGGAACGAAAGCCAGGGGAGCAAACCGGAUUAGAUACGGUAAGUCUGCUAAAACAUAUUUCUAGAAUUGACUUCACAAGUUUGCAAACAAAAACUACAUUGUGAAAUUUAAGGACAGAAAAACACAUGUUGACUUACUCGCUAAUUACCCGAGUAGUCCUGGCCGUAAACGCUGCGAGCAAGGUGUUGCAUAAACUACGAGUUUGUGCAGUGUCGAAAGGAAGCUGUUAAGCUCGCCGCCUGGGAAGUACGGUCGCAAGACUGAAACUUUAAGGAAUUGACGGGGGAGCACCACAAGGGGUGCAGCGUGCGGUUUAAUCUAACUCAACGCAGAGAAUCUCACUAGGGGCGACGGCAGGAUGAAGGUCAGUCUGAAGGGCUUACCUGACGAGCCGAGAGGUAGUGCAUGGCCGUCGUCAGCUCGUGCUGUAAAGUGUCCUCUUAAGUGAGGCAACGAGCGAGACCUGUAUCUACAAUUGCUAACGACCGUUUACGGGAUCGAGCACAUUGUAGAGACUGCCCUGGAAACAGGGAGGAAGGUGCAGGCUACGGUAGGUCUGUAUGCUCCGAAUCUCCUAGGCUACACGCGCGCAACAAUGGUAGGGACAAUGGGACGCAACUCCGAAAAGGAGAAGCUAAACCUCUAAACCCUAUCUCAGUUCAGAUUGAGGGUUGUAACUCACCCUCAUGACGACGGAAUCCCUAGUAAUCAAGAUUCAUCAAACUCCGGGGGAUAUUGUCCCUG
RNAcentral lists this ribosomal RNA (1097 nucleotides) under uncultured euryarchaeote. Its description in RNAcentral is "bacterial SSU rRNA". It matches the Rfam family "Archaeal small subunit ribosomal RNA", at positions 345 to 1332 of the family's 1478-position model. Lineage: Archaea; Methanobacteriati; Methanobacteriota. The record is from RNAcentral.